Molecule: ribosomal RNA, 468 nt
Filed under: uncultured bacterium
Lineage: Bacteria
Description: partial 16S ribosomal RNA
Rfam family: Bacterial small subunit ribosomal RNA
Source: RNAcentral
GACGAACGCUGGCGGCGUGCUUAACACAUGCAAGUCGAACGGAAAGGCCCUGCUUUUGUGGGGUGCUCGAGUGGCGAACGGGUGAGUAACACGUGCGUAACCUGCCCUUGACUUUGGGAUAACUUCAGGAAACUGGGGCUAAUACCGGAUAGGAGCUCCUGCUGCAUGGUGGGGGUUGGAAAGUUUCGGCGGUGGGGGGGGGACUCGCGGCUUCUCAGCGUGUUGGUGGGGUAGUGGCUCACCACGGCUUCGACGGGUCGCCGGCCCGAGAGGGCGCCCGGCGACAGUGGGACUGAGAUACGGCCCAGACGCCUACGGGAGGCAGCAGUGGGGAAUAUUGCACAAUGGGCGGAAGCCUGAUGCAGCAACGCCGCGUGCGGGAUGACGGCCUUCGGGUUGUAAACCGCUUUCGCCUGUGACGAAGCGUGAGUGACGGUAAUGGGUAAAGAAGCACCGGCUAACUACGUG